UCCUUCAUUCCACCGGAGUCUGUCUCAUACGUAAUCAGAUUUCAAUGGAGUGAAGCACA
Molecule: microRNA precursor, 59 nt
Filed under: Xenopus laevis (African clawed frog)
Lineage: Eukaryota; Metazoa; Chordata; Amphibia; Anura; Pipidae
Description: Xla-Mir-205-P4c_pre stem-loop
Rfam family: mir-205 microRNA precursor family
Source: RNAcentral